CCUACGGGGGGCUGCAGUGGGGAAUAUUGGACAAUGGGGGCAACCCUGAUCCAGCCAUGCCGCGUGUGUGAAGAAGGCCCUCGGGUUGUAAAGCACUUUCAGUGAGGAAGAACGCCUGGUGGUUAAUACCCAUCAGGAAAGACAUCACUCACAGAAGAAGCACCGGCUAACUCCGUGCCAGCAGCCGCGGUAAUACGGAGGGUGCGAGCGUUAAUCGGAAUUACUGGGCGUAAAGCGCGCGUAGGUGGCUUGAUAAGCCGGUUGUGAAAGCCCCGGGCUCAACCUGGGAACGGCAUCCGGAACUGUCAAGCUAGAGUGCGGGAGAGGAAGGUAGAAUUCCCGGUGUAGCGGUGAAAUGCGUAGAGAUCGGGAGGAAUAACAGUGGCGAAGGCGGCCUUCUGGACUGACACUGACACUGAGGUGCGAAAGCGUGGGUAGCAAACAGGAUUAGAUACCCCAGUAGUC
Molecule: ribosomal RNA, 465 nt
Filed under: Vreelandella stevensii
Lineage: Bacteria; Pseudomonadati; Pseudomonadota; Gammaproteobacteria; Oceanospirillales; Halomonadaceae
Description: partial 16S ribosomal RNA
Rfam family: Bacterial small subunit ribosomal RNA
Source: RNAcentral